RNAcentral lists this long non-coding RNA (800 nucleotides) under Daucus carota (carrot). RNAcentral describes it as "long non-coding RNA (DCAR_LNC000306)". Lineage: Eukaryota; Viridiplantae; Streptophyta; Magnoliopsida; Apiales; Apiaceae. The record is from RNAcentral.
GUUUUGUGAGCAAGAACAAGAGAGUGACAGGGAGUAUACACGCAGUUGUUAUUAAGGUUAGUGUUAGAGAAAUUGGGGAUUGGGUUUGGUAGAGAAAUCGCGAGCAAUAGAGCUUAAUCGAGGGUAGGAGAUUGAAUCCUUUUAUAAAUCAAGUCGUUCAUGUUUAUAUACAAUUGAAUAUAUGCUUGUUUGAUUGAAUCGGUGUGGGGAAGAGUUGCGAACAGAGGUGAUGGUUGUAAGCUGUUCGAGGGGCGGCGGGGGUGACGGCAAGUGAAGGCUGGCCGCAGUAGUAGUAGAGGGAGGAGUUGAUGAAGCGGCCCCGCGUUAGGGUGAAUCAGAAAGAAGACGGAGAUGGGAGGAGGUCACAUGGAUGAGAAGUCAGAGUUGGUGAUUGGGUUCUGUUGAGAGUUCGACUAGAGAUACAAGGUGAAGAGAAAGUGUGGCUGGGAAGGAGUAAAGACGCCGCAAUUUGGCCACGCGACGGCGUGAUAACAGUAGUGAACUGAAGGCAUAUAGUCGGAGGUGGGUUGUGCGGGUAGGCAGCGAACUGCGACCUCGCCGGAAAGCCGAUCAGCGAUUCCGCGGAAAAGGCUGCAGUGGCUGCAUGGUGGUUGUUAGGUUCGGAAACGAUUGCAGGGGGGGUUGAAUACAGUAGUUACAAUAUAAUCACGGGAUAAAUCUGAUUUGUAUAUAACUGGAAAAUCAGAUUUAAAUUAAUUAUUACAAUGUUUAAAGUUGUUAUAUAAUUAAAGGGGUUCAGUUUUAAUGUCCACUAACGUUCAUAGAAUAAAUUCGACAAG